AAGAUUACUUCCCUUAAAGCUGCUAACUUUAAACAAAUGCUUAGCAUUUAAUCUUU
Molecule: transfer RNA, 56 nt
Filed under: Blattisocius tarsalis
Lineage: Eukaryota; Metazoa; Arthropoda; Arachnida; Mesostigmata; Blattisociidae
Description: tRNA-Ser
Source: RNAcentral